AACGAACGCUGGCGGCAUGCCUAACACAUGCAAGUCGAACGAGACCUUCGGGUCUACUGGCGCAUGCUUCCGUAACGCGUGGGAAGCUGCCCUUAGGUUCGGAAUAACUCCCCGAAAGGGGUGCUAAUACCGGGUAAUGGCCUCCGACCAAAGAUUUAUCACCUAUGGAUGGGCCCGCGUUGGAUUAGCUGGUUGGUAGUGUAUAAGCAUACCAAGGCGACGAUCCAUAGCUGGCUUGAGAGGAUGAUCAGCAACACUAGGACUGCGACACGGCCCAGACUCCUAGGGGAGGGAGCAGUGCGGAAUAUUGAACGAUGGGUGAAAGCCUGAUGCAGCAAUGCUGCGGGAGUGAUGAAGGCCUUAGGGUUGUACAGCUGUUUUACCCGGGAUGAUAAUGACAGUACCGGAAGAAUAAGCUCCGGCUAACUACGUG
RNAcentral lists this ribosomal RNA (433 nucleotides) under uncultured bacterium. RNAcentral describes it as "partial 16S ribosomal RNA". It matches the Rfam family "Bacterial small subunit ribosomal RNA", at positions 29 to 507 of the family's 1533-position model. The record is from RNAcentral.